AACGCGUAGGUAACCUGCCUGGUAGCGGGGGCUUACUAUUGGAAACGAUAGCUAAUACCGCAUAAGAGUAGAUGUUGCAUGACAUUUGCUUAAAAGGUGCAAUUGCAUCACUACCAGAUGGACCUGCGUUGUAUUAGCUAGUUGGUGGGGUAACGGCUCACCAAGGCGACGAUACAUAGCCGACCUGAGAGGGUGAUCGGCCACACUGGGACUGAGACACGGCCCAGACUCCUACGGGAGGCAGCAGUAGGGAAUCUUCGGCAAUGGACGGAAGUCUGACCGAGCAACGCCGCGUGAGUGAAGAAGGUUUUCGGAUCGUAAAGCUCUGUUGUAAGAGAAGAACGAGUGUGAGAGUGGAAAGUUCACACUGUGACGGUAUCUUACCAGAAAGGGACGGCUAACUACGUGCCAGCAGCCGCGGUAAUACGUAGGUCCCGAGCGUUGUCCGGAUUUAUUGGGCGUAAAGCGAGCGCAGGCGGUUAGAUAAGUCUGAAGUUAAAGGCUGUGGCUUAACCAUAGUACGCUUUGGAAACUGUUUAACUUGAGUGCAAGAGGGGAGAGUGGAAUUCCAUGUGUAGCGGUGAAAUGCGUAGAUAUAUGGAGGAACACCGGUGGCGAAAGCGGCUCUCUGGCUUGUAACUGACGCUGAGGCUCGAAAGCGUGNGGAGCAAACAGGAUUAGAUACCCUGGUAGUCCACGCCGUAAACGAUGAGUGCUAGGUGUUAGACCCUUUC
RNAcentral lists this ribosomal RNA (734 nucleotides) under uncultured bacterium. RNAcentral's name for it is "bacterial SSU rRNA". It matches the Rfam family "Bacterial small subunit ribosomal RNA", at positions 112 to 834 of the family's 1533-position model. The record is from RNAcentral.